Molecule: long non-coding RNA, 797 nt
Organism: Homo sapiens (human)
Lineage: Eukaryota; Metazoa; Chordata; Mammalia; Primates; Hominidae
Product: long intergenic non-protein coding RNA 1710
Source: Ensembl
GGUGUAGAGAAUCCUAUCGAAGAUAGGGCACAUUAGCAUACUGAGUAUUUUAUGCUGAAGGAAAUUGAGAAAACUGCGGAAGCAGAAAGUUGCCUCUGACCUCUCUUAAAGACCCUCAUGUGACAAGUGUCCUGCUCUAUACACAGAGGGAAGGAACUACACAAACAGGCCAAGAAGAAUCUGGAGAAACAGUCUUUUCUAAGCCCUCCCCAGUUUACUGACACUAGGUCAUACCUCCUUUUUGUUUAAUUAUACCUUUACAGGACUAUCUAUUCUUCAUCAAACCUAAGCAUAAAAAUAUACAGUUUUCCCUGGGUCUUCAUUUCUGAAAGUUGUCAUGUCAAGGAAAACUUAUAUUAAGCUUAUAUUAAAUAAAUUUGUCACACUUUUAUCUUGUUAAUCUAUAUUUUGUUGUAGGAGUCUCAGCCAUGAACCUAAUGGUGGGCUUGAAAAGUGGAGUACGGCUUCUGCAUUUCUAUACAACAUUAAGUUUCAAAGGACAGAUGAAAGCAGAAGAGCCAUAGAAGAAGGCUCUAGGUGCUCAGUUACUGCUACAUCUUUACCAUCCUGCACGCCUCUUUUACUUAUGGCUAGAUUCCCGCUAACAAAUGUUGGAUAAGAAACACUGUCUGAAUCACAAGAACAGAGAGGUUAGGAGAAAUAGUUUUGCUCACUCCUUCCAUGUGGUGAAACAUCUACUAAUGCAAUACUCCAGUCCUCUCUCUAUCCUUACUCACAUGAAAAUGCAAUGGUUCGAUUUGUAAAGGUAAAUAAACAGAUGUGUUAUUUUGCAUGUA